UUUGGUGAAGCUCAGUGGUAGAGUGAGUGCUUAGCAUUCCUGAGGUCCUAGGUUCAAUCUCUGGCACCAAAA
RNAcentral lists this transfer RNA (72 nucleotides) under Heterocephalus glaber (naked mole-rat). It matches the Rfam family "tRNA". From Rfam's summary of the family: Transfer RNA (tRNA) molecules are approximately 80 nucleotides in length. Their secondary structure includes four short double-helical elements and three loops (D, anti-codon, and T loops). Further hydrogen bonds mediate the characteristic L-shaped molecular structure. tRNAs have two regions of fundamental functional importance: the anti-codon, which is responsible for specific mRNA codon recognition, and the 3' end, to which the tRNAs corresponding amino acid is attached (by aminoacyl-tRNA synthetases). tRNAs cope with the degeneracy of the genetic code in two manners: having more than one tRNA (with a specific anti-codon) for a particular amino acid; and 'wobble' base-pairing, i.e. permitting non-standard base-pairing at the 3rd anti-codon position. Lineage: Eukaryota; Metazoa; Chordata; Mammalia; Rodentia; Bathyergidae. The record is from Rfam by way of RNAcentral.